Danio rerio (zebrafish) is the source of this 1996-nucleotide non-coding RNA. NCBI's taxonomy places the organism in Eukaryota, Metazoa, Chordata, Actinopteri, Cypriniformes, Danionidae. The record is from RefSeq and is a predicted model, not a curated record.
UGAAGGACAAACUGCUUUUUAAUUUACACCAAGCAGAAUAAAGCAAACCAAGACAUACACAAAAUCAAAGCAAGUAUAAAAACCGCAUGCAGCGAAUUACCAAAUGACAUUUUUAAAAGACAACAGUAUCAAAUAACACACAAACAAAACUCUUUAAACAUUUGCAAACACACAAGAAAAUGAGACACACAAAUACUGCAUAAUAAAAUCUGAUACACAGAGAACGCCGCCUCAUUCAGGAAAAACACACACUCACUAAUCUGACAUGCUCUAUUCAAAAACAUAAAUAAACCAGUUUUCUGUUGACACGCGUGAUAUGUUGAAUUGUGAUGUUAGCGAAUUACAACCCAACCAAAUGUUACAUAACAGAAAACACUGUAACAUUCUUGCAAGUCUAUAGUAUAAUAUAGUAUACAAAAUAUAUCAUGACAACAAUAUAGAAUUUGUGCGGUAUUCACAUUACAAAUUGAAUAUAGGCAACAGUGUAAGAAGGUAAAAUGUUGUAAUGUCUGGAUAAUGGAAGACUUUUCAAACUAAACCGUGAUUUUAAACCUACAAGGAAGACCGAUAUUGUUUGAGGGAAAAAAAAUUAUUUGUUGAUAUAUUUUUUACAUAAAAAUAUAAGUUCAGCACUUUCAACAGUUAACUUAAUAUAGUUUGACAUUCAAGGCAAUAUUUAGUGUCUAGAAUAAUUCAAGCAGCAUUUUAUAAGUUUGCUCAACACUGCGUGACACCAUUCAAGUACAUAUAAAGCAGCUCUUCAUGUGAAAUCUCUGUUGCUCAAACAUGACCGAGUAAAGUAGAGAAGUUGUAAAGCUGCUAACUGCUUUAAUUUAUAACAGCUACCAUCCUUGCCCGAAGAUGACCGUACUGAAGAUGUCUAACUAAAUAUUAAACACAAAAUAUCGCACAAUAUUUGAACUACAGUUGAGCUAUACUGAAGAAAAGGCCACCAAUAAUAAUAUGAAUAUAGUUUGGUCUCUAAUAGAAAAAGUAUUGGUUAAAAGCAGAUCGUUAACUCAGCUUCAUGUACUUCCAAAUACAUCAUUUAUUUGUUCAUCUUCAUAACAAAAAUGACAUUUUUGUAAUUGAAUCUAAGAUUCCAAUCUUAGUCUGUCGUUUACUUAAAAUUGUAGUGAAAACGGGGAAAUGUUCUACUUCAAUGUUUAAAAUCAAACUGACAUAUCACUUAUGAUUAUUCUGUGAGUUUUAAAAAUGGUGAUUUUUUAUUUAAAGGCACAGUAUGUAAUUUUCACCACUAGAGGGAGCUUAACACAACAAACAAAAGCAUAUUUUGAUGAUGUCGUGACUUAAGGCUGAUUUAUACUUCUGCGUCAAGCGCACGGGUAUGCAUCUGCACAGCCUUUGCUAGAUCGUAUAGCCCUGCUAAUGCCGCGGCUGAUGCGCACCUCUCAAACAAUAACUACACACACAGCGACGCAUAACGCAAGAUCUGUGAUUGGUCAGCUUGAUACCGGUAACAAGCGUGGGCGGCGUUGAGAGCCGAGUCCUGGGAAGGAGCUCCAGAUGGAAAUUUUUGUUUUGUGUUUACCUUUAUGAUAAAGUUGUUGCACAUCCACUGGUUCCCACCUCUAAAUGAGUGAGUUUUAGCUACUUGUAGCAUUCAGAAAAACAAAAUACCCACAAAGAAACUCGACAGAGGAACAUAAAAACCAACUGCCAGCAAGCAUUUUGGAAGCGUUAUUGCAGAGCAGCCCGAACAGCAUUCACAACUAUAAAUGUAUGUCUACGCGCAAAGCAGGCGCCGUGGGUCACGCAGAUCAUUUGGUGCAGAAGUAUAAAUCAGCCUUUGAUGUGGAAUCAUGAGAGUUGUGGUCUUUGUUGCAUUGUACAGGACUUCAGCUGAAUCAUUUUCACUGAUGAGCUAAAGUACAUUCAGUGUUAGGUAUGUUACUUAAAAAAGUAAUUAGUUACUUCAAAAAGGUAGUUAGUUACUUCUUACAAAUAGUAACUGGGUUAGUAGCUGAAUUAUAUC